CCGAUUUUGCCCGGCGAUGGUUCCCGCCCCGGCAAACGCUGUGGGGCGGGUGAAAAGGGAACACGGUGCGGCGUACCCAUCAGGGACCAAGACCGUGGCUGCCCCCGCAACUGUGAGCGGUGAGCGAGAUCCCCGAAUGCCACUGGCCCCGGUUCAUCCCGGCCGGCCGGGAAGGCGGGAUCGAGCGGCGACCCGCAAGCCAGGAGACCUGCCAUCGACGCCGCGGGGUU
Molecule: non-coding RNA, 230 nt
Filed under: Stappia sp.
Lineage: Bacteria; Pseudomonadati; Pseudomonadota; Alphaproteobacteria; Hyphomicrobiales; Stappiaceae
Source: RNAcentral